CAGUAGCCACGGUAAAACGUAGGUGGCAAGCGUUGUCCGGAAUUAUUGGGCGUAAAGCGCGCGCAGGCGGAUAGGUCAGUCUGUCUUAAAAGUUCGGGGCUUAACCCCGUGAUGGGAUGGAAACUGCCAAUCUAGAGUAUCGGAGAGGAAAGUGGAAUUCCUAGUGUAGCGGUGAAAUGCGUAGAUAUUAGGAAGAACACCAGUGGCGAAGGCGACUUUCUGGACGAAAACUGACGCUGAGGCGCGAAAGCCAGGGGAGCGAACGGGAUUAGAUACCCGCGUAGUCCCUGUCUCUUAUACA
This 301-nucleotide ribosomal RNA is filed under the name uncultured bacterium. RNAcentral describes it as "partial 16S ribosomal RNA". It matches the Rfam family "Bacterial small subunit ribosomal RNA", at positions 509 to 809 of the family's 1533-position model. The record is from RNAcentral.